Molecule: non-coding RNA, 65 nt
Organism: Potamilus streckersoni
Lineage: Eukaryota; Metazoa; Mollusca; Bivalvia; Unionida; Unionidae
Source: the annotation of a GenBank genome assembly
GGUGGCCUAAGUGGUCAGUGCGUCCGCCUCGGUAUCGGAAGAUGUCGGGUUCGAACCCCGUCACA